Molecule: non-coding RNA, 45 nt
Organism: Aedes albopictus (Asian tiger mosquito)
Lineage: Eukaryota; Metazoa; Arthropoda; Insecta; Diptera; Culicidae
Source: Rfam
AAAACGGCCCUUCUCAGGGCCAAAAACAUAUUCUAAAAGAGUUAU